This is a long non-coding RNA of Epinephelus lanceolatus (giant grouper), 340 nucleotides long. RefSeq lists it as uncharacterized. NCBI's taxonomy places the organism in Eukaryota, Metazoa, Chordata, Actinopteri, Perciformes, Serranidae. The record is from RefSeq and is a predicted model, not a curated record.
GCCUUCGUCUCAUGGCUCUGCUCUCCUCCCAUCAUCACAGUCACCAACACAGCAAGUCACACCUGAGCAACAACACACAGUGUGCCAGUAAACACAAACAAGAAGACGAAGAAGGAAAACCUCACUUGGAUUGGUCGAGAAGAUGCAGUGAGGACAUGCUACACUACUUAGGACAGUGAAGCAUGACAGAAGGAUGGGAGAGAGAGAGCAAGUAAGACAUGCAGCAAAGAACAAAGGCUGGAUUCCAACCCACACAGCUGCAAUAAGGGCUAGCUGCACCUUUCCCAUGUGAACUACCAGUGCGCCCCACUUUUAAGUCAAUACAACAUAUAAACCCUUU